Long non-coding RNA from Peromyscus leucopus (white-footed mouse), 273 nucleotides. RefSeq lists it as uncharacterized. The transcript has 3 exons. Lineage: Eukaryota; Metazoa; Chordata; Mammalia; Rodentia; Cricetidae. The record is from RefSeq and is a predicted model, not a curated record.
UUACAACAUCUAAUUAAUAUUUAUCAUUUGAUGUUAACAGUGUGUCAUGGUCCACUGGGAGAAGAGAAAUCACCUGGAGACACAUGGAUAUCUAACUGCCACCAGUGUACCUGUACUGACGCACAGGCUGUGGACUGCAAACCCAAAGAGUGUCCUUCUCCGCCCACCUGCCAAACUGGAGAGAAGCUUAUGAUAUUCAAAUCGAAUGACUCCUGCUGUGACAUCGGCCACUGUGAACCAAGAACCUGUUUAUUUAACAAUACAGAUUAUGAG